Molecule: ribosomal RNA, 254 nt
Filed under: uncultured bacterium
Lineage: Bacteria
Description: partial 16S ribosomal RNA
Rfam family: Bacterial small subunit ribosomal RNA
Source: RNAcentral
UACAGAGGGUGCAAGCGUUGUUCGGAAUUAUUGGGCGUAAAGGGCUCGUAGGCGGUUUGUCGCGUCGGGAGUGAAAUCCCCGGGCUCAACCUGGGAAUUGCAUUCGAUACUGGAUAGCUAGAGUUCGGCAGAGGGAAGCGGAAUUUCCGGUGUAGCGGUGAAAUGCGUAGAUAUCGGAAGGAACAUCAGUGGCGAAAGCGGCUUCCUGGACCAGAACUGACGAUCAGGCACGAAAGCGUGGGGAGCAAACAGGG